UACGUAGGGGGCAAGCGUUGUCCGGAUUUAUUGGGCGUAAAGAGCGUGUAGGCGGCUUGGUAGGUCCGCUGUGAAAACUCGAGGCUCAACCUCGAGAUGUCGGCGGAAACCACUUGGCUAGAGUCCGGAAGAGGCGAGUGGAAUUCCUGGUGUAGCGGUGGAAUGCGCAGAUAUCAGGAGGAACACCAAUAGCGAAGGCAGCUCGCUGGGACGGUACUGACGCUGAGGCGCGAAAGCGUGGGGAGCGAACAGG
This 253-nucleotide ribosomal RNA is filed under the name uncultured bacterium. Its description in RNAcentral is "partial 16S ribosomal RNA". It matches the Rfam family "Bacterial small subunit ribosomal RNA", at positions 524 to 776 of the family's 1533-position model. The record is from RNAcentral.